This is a long non-coding RNA of Artibeus jamaicensis (Jamaican fruit-eating bat), 2197 nucleotides long. RefSeq lists it as uncharacterized. The record is from RefSeq and is a predicted model, not a curated record. The transcript is spliced from 5 exons. Lineage: Eukaryota; Metazoa; Chordata; Mammalia; Chiroptera; Phyllostomidae.
GUUGCAAUAGCAGCAGGCAACAGAGUUUGGGUGAGGUCACUCGGUCUGGCCUCCUGCCUCCUCUGUUCCAUCUGCUGUUUGCCUGCUUCCUCUGCUAGAAGGCAGAAUCUAGGGCCCGCCCCCCUCCCCAAGCUUCUCUCACGCCCUCAUUUCAGGAUCUGUCAAACCAGGCCCGCCUGGGAGCUGAGCUCCACCUCUCUCCCUUUACUCUGUUGACAAGAACUGGCAGAGGUAACCAUCAAUGAGAAAGACUUUUUUUCUCCUUCAGCCCUGUCACCUACCCAACCGCAUCUCCAGCAGGUCUGUGGAAGUAGCUUCAGCUGCCACUCAGGGUUGAUGCCGGGCCAUCACCACUCUUCUCCUGAUGCCUCAGCCCCUAUUCACAGCGAAUAUUGAAAGCGGAAAUAAGAGAAGUAAAGUUCUGGAAAGGGCUUUAAAUGAUUGGCAGCUGGCUGGAUAUUCCUAAGUGCUUGCUCUCAUUUUCUGCAUGUGUCUGGUAGUGGACCAGAAGCAGCUUGUGGGUCCUGCUCUGAGCAGCACUGCAGCAGCACAAGGGACAUCGCACCCAACCCUGUGGCUCGCAACUCAGAGAGAGGAGAAGAGAAGAAGAAAGAGAGGGAGAGAAACACCAGUGUGUGGCUGCCUCUUGUGCUCCCCCCACUGGGAACCUGGCCCGCAACCCAGGCGUGCACACUGACUGGGAAUUGAACUGGCGACAGGCAGUUUACAGGCAGGCACUCAUUCCACUAAGCCACACCAGCCAGGGGUACUUCACUCCUUUUUUAAAAAUUGUGUAAUGUUCUUUCCUCUGAAAACAUGUUUUAUUUUUUAAUUUCAGUUGACAUUCAAUAUUACAUUAGUUUCAGGUAUACUACAUAAGUGGUUAGACCUUUAUACAACUUAUGAUGUGAUCCCCUCAAUAUAUCUAGCGCCCACCUGACACCAUAUUAACUAUAUGUAUUCCCUAAGCUGUACUUUAUGUUUCCAUGACUGUAACUACCAAUUUGUACUUUUCAAUCCAUUCACCUUUUUCACCCAGCCCCCAAAUCCUCCUCUCACCUGGCAAUCAUCAGUUUGUUCUCUGUAUCAAUGAGUAUGUUUCUGUUGUGUUUAUACAUUUAUUUUGUUUUUUAUAUUUUACAUAUAAGGGAAACCAUAUGGUAUUUGUCUUUCUCUGUCUUACUUCAUUUAGCAUACUAUCCUCUAGGUCCAUCCAUGUUGUUGCAAAUGGUUAGAUUUUGUUCUUUUUUAAGCAAUAUUCCAUUACACACAGGUAAAGCAAAAGUAGGUUUACAGUUGCUUGUAUGGAAAAUAAUAUAAUGAUAAAUAAUAAUACGAGAAUAAAUUCUGUGUUUCCCAUACACACAACUACAACUUUUGCCCACCCUGUGUACAUACCACAUCUUCUUUAUCUGAUCAUAAAUAAUGCCACAAGGAACAUAGGGAUACAUACACCUUUUCAAAUUGGUGUUUUAGAUUUCUUUGGAUAAAUACCUAGAAGUAGCAUUUUUAAUUUUUUUUUUAAGAUUUUUUAUUUAUUUGUCUUUAGAGGGGAAGGGAAGGAGAGAGGGAGAGAAACAUCAAUGUAUGGUUGCCUUUCAUGCAUCCCCUGCUGGGAACUGGCCUGCAGGGAACCGGCCUGCAACCCUGCUAUGUGCCCUGACUGGGAAUCGAACCGCGAUUGUCUGGUUCGCAGGCCCGUGCUCAAUCCACUGAGCUACACCAGCCAGGGCCCAUUUUUAAUUUUUUGAGGGACCUCCAUAAUGCUUUUCAUGGUGUCUGCACUAAUCUGCAAUCUCACAAACAGUGCAUGAGGGUUCCCUUUCCUCCACAUCCUCACCAAAACGUUUGUUGAUUUUUUGAUGAUGGCCAUUCUGACAGGUGUGAGGUGGUACUUCAUGGUGGUUUUAAAUUGUAUUUCUCUGGUGGUUGGUGAUGCUGACCGUGAUCUUUUCAAAUGUUUUUUUGCCAUCUGUAUGUCCCCUUUGGAGAAAUGUCUAUUUAGGUCCUCUGCCCAUUUUUUGAUCAAAUUGUUUGUCUUUUUGGUGUUAAAUUGUGUGAUUUAUAUAUUUUAGACAUUAACCUCUUAUUGGAUGUAUCAUUUGCAAAUAUUUUCUCUUUUUAUUCUGUUGAUGGUUUCCUUUGCUGGGCAAAAACUUUUUACUUGAUGUAAUCCCAUUUGUUUAUUUUUUCUUUU